CUCGCCGGGGGGUGCGGGGGGCUCUGCCGCCGCGGGAAGGGCUCGAGCCCGGGGUGCACGGCGCGGGAGAGCCCGGGGGCGUUUGCCGUGGGGCAGCGGGGACCCAGCGGAGGCGGCCUGAGUCGGGGUCCCGGGGGGUCCCCAAACUCACCCCAAGGCGGGAGAAAAUGAAUCAGAGAGAGAAARCAGCGCGUGGAGGAGACGUCUGCCGGCGCGGCGCCGCUGCCGUGCCCCCCGCCGAGGAGAGCCCCUCGCCCCGGCACAAAACGCAGAGUUUUACAACAGACGUGUAACGCUGGGGGCAAUCGGCCCCGCGGGAGAGCRGCCGGGCCGUCCCGCCGGCGAAGGCAUCCUGCCCCGGCCCAGGGCUGGGGGGGUCCCACCGCCUCCCGCAGCCGCCCCCGGCGCCGCGGGACCUGCACCGGGCACGGGCCCCGGCCGGGGGGGCUCCGGGGGCUCCCGAAACAAAGACACGUUUGGAAACGGCCUGGGCAGCACAAAGGUGCCAUUCAGGGGGGCUUGCAGGGGGGCCGCUGCCUGCCCGGACGGGAGGGCCGCUGUUCGCGGGGGGGUGCCAGGGCCGCUCUCAGUUUGCACACAAGCGAGCAGAGCUGCUCAUCCCCGUAAGCCGGGCUUUAAAAUAAAUAAGCCCGGGAGAGCAGAGGCGCCCCAGGCCGUCGGACACCGCCAGCCUGUCUGAGCUUCGUUUCCGAGAACGCCAGGGCUUCGGUGUCCGGGAGCAGCGGCUCUCUGCAGACGCCCCGCCGGGAUAGCAGAGAUUUAUUUGCAAGGCUCUUCCUGGGGAGCCGUGCAGAAACCUCGAGCCGGGGCCAGGCUGACGCCRGCUGAAUGGCGCUUUUGUGCGCGGGGCUGCGGCCGUCCCCGGAGCCGGCCGGGCAGAGCGCCAGGCAGUGCCGGGUGCGCACGGAGGCCGGGGCGCCGGCUCCAUCCGUGCCCUCGCCGGGGGACGCUGGGGACAGGACGGGCUGUGGGGCAGGCGAUGGGGGAGGCAGGAGCUGCUGCUUGGCGCCUGGGGAUGCUCGCGCCGGUCCCAGCUCCUGCGGGUGGGUGAGGGCCACGCGGGCGGUGCUGCCGCCUCCGAGCACCAGCAUCUCCCGCCGCCACCAUCCCUGCCUCUYCCCCCCAUCCCUGCCUCUYCCCCCCAUCCCUGCCUCUCCCCCCCAUCCCUGCCUCUUCCCCCCAGCGAGGGCCGCCAGGAGAGCCCGGCCCGCGAGGGCCCCCCGGUCCGCCAGGAGUGCCGGGAGCCGACGGCAUCGACGUGAGUGCGGGCCGCGGGGAGGGAGGGACGGAGGGAGGGAGGGAGGGAGGGGGCCGCCGGCACAAAGAGGGACAUUGUGCGGGGCAGCGGCUUGCGGCCGGGGAGCUGCUGCGGUUUGCAGAGGGCCGGGGGGCUCCUGCGCGCAGGGAGGGCUCCGCCGGCCCUGGGGAGCGCCCCGUGGCCGGCCGGCCCGUGCUAUUUAUACCCCAAAGCCGCAGCUUUCCUGCAGCCAAGCGAAGCGCGCUGGUCCCAGCCCCAUCCUGGCCUCCGAGCUGGGGGAUCCCGCAGCUCCCGCCGGCUUCGGGAGGGCACAGGGGGACCUGGAGCAGGCAACGAGCAUCCGGCUCUGCCCGGAGGGUGACCCCCCCCCCCAUAACCUCCUCCUCUUCCCCAGGGUGACAAAGGCUCGCCGGGAGCACCGGGGCCCUCGGGUGCCAAGGGGGAGCCCGGCGCGCCCGGUCCGGACGGGCCCCCAGGGAAGCCGGGCAUCGACGGCCUGACAGGAGCGAAAGGGGAACCGGGGCCCAUCGGCGGGCCAGGAGUUAAAGUAAGUGCGGCUGCGGCGCGGCAGUGGUGCGGCGUCGGGCUGCGGCAGGCACCAAGGCUCCGUCCAGCACGGUGGUGACCACGUGCAGCUGGUGCACGGCGCGGGCUCCCCCGCUUUGCACAGCACCCUGCGCCCUGCAGCGCGCCGAUGGCCGGCUGCCGAUCCGGCUCCUGACUCUCCCCUUCUGUCCCGACAGGGCCAGCCCGGACUCCCAGGGCCGCCGGGGCUCCCCGUGAGUAAUCCGCCCGUCCGCUGGGAUGCAGGGAGCCCCGAGCAGGGCUGGGGUCCCCCGCUCUCCCCUCGC
Long non-coding RNA from Dromaius novaehollandiae (emu), 2130 nucleotides. The record is from Ensembl. Lineage: Eukaryota; Metazoa; Chordata; Aves; Casuariiformes; Dromaiidae.